Molecule: long non-coding RNA, 2607 nt
Organism: Eriocheir sinensis (Chinese mitten crab)
Lineage: Eukaryota; Metazoa; Arthropoda; Malacostraca; Decapoda; Varunidae
Exons: 2
Source: RefSeq, a predicted model, not a curated record
UAUAAAUUAUUCACAAGUUUACAGAUGAAGAAAAACAGUGGCGUCGAGGUAACAUUUAUUCAAAGUCACGGCUUACACACUAGUACAUACGCUUAGGGUUGUAAAAUAGAGACAUGUUGAUCUGACGCUUUGAACGGAGAGUCACCGAGGGACUGCCCGGCCGUGUUUGCCAAUGCCUUCUCCCCACGCCAGUCAGUGCUCGCAGGAGGGAAUGGAAAUCUAUAUAAUGAGGUGAGGUUUUGGUCGGCAUUCAAAGAUGUUUCCGCCUCUCAAGUCAACUAUUUCCAAUCGCCGAAAAGGGGAUUAAUCUGGUUUUAAUGAGUUUUUAUGACUUUUUCAAGGCAUGGUUGGUUGAUUUCACUGUUUUUUUUUUAACUUUUGUUGUUGUUGUUGUAACAGAGGUGUGCCUGAUGUCUUUUUCUUGACCCAUUUUUUGAGGCGUGGUGAGUUGGUUUUGUUGAUUUUCUAUACUUUUUUUCUGGUAACAGUGGUGUGCCUGAUGUCUUUUUCUCGACCCAUUUUUCGAGGCAUGGUGAGUUGGUUUUGUCGAUUUUUUACACUUUUUUCUGGUAACAGUGGUGUGCCUGAUGUCUUUUUUCUCAACCUGUUUUUUAAGGCACGGUGAGUUGGUUUUGUGGAUUUGUUUAUACCGCUUUUUAUACGACGGAGUUUGUAAUGCAUUAACUUAACUCUGUGAAAAUCCAACUAUAACAAUUGACAAACUUCAUCCCAAAAAUGGAAGUAGUAAAAAGCCAAACUAGCCACAUGACUUAACAAAUACUAAUAUGACAUCAACGAAAUCUGGCGCUGCUGAUUUUAGGCCUCAGCUCAAUAUUUAUCCUUCUCCGUUUUCUCCUCCUUAGAACUGACUGGCCUUGGGAGCACAGACACGGGGCCACUUCCACAGUUCACCAUGACGGGGGGUUAGUAAGCCUCCAAACCAAUACCAGAGACUUCAAAAACAUUCCUUGUUAAGUGUUUGACAUUCAUAUGCAAGUUAAAAAAUCUGAGGAAGCCGAACGGGAAAACUCUAGUAUGUCUGGUCUUGCAUGGAAAGCCUAACCAUAAUGAAUUGUAGGAGAUUAAAUAGUUUGGUUCAGGUGAUUACAAAGCCACUGUGUCGGACUGUGGAAUUGGCGCUAAGAUACAGGCAGCGCGCAGACCCCUCGGAUGACUCCUUAGUGGACGGGCUGUGUGGGGCGGGACAACAUUAAGGCUUACGUCAGCUGCUGUGGUGCGGCUGACUGUGUGAGGAACUGUAGUGGGUGGUGGAUGGAUGGACUGUGCUUGGUUUGAUUUAGUUUAGCCGGAUGCAGUGGUGUGUAUGUGUGUGUUUACCUGGUUGUGAGUACUCGGUUUUGUGGAGAAUGUGUAUAGCUUAUGUCUAGGUUGUGGCUGUCUCACCUUGCUCAAGAAUGUAUAGAUCAUGUUUUCUCGUGGUUUGGGAUCGGAAUACAUCUUUUGAGGCGUCCAACACCACACAAUUGACGAACAAACUCUUCCCCUUACACUCAAUUCCACAUACACUUCCAACCAUUUCCUUCUCGGCAUUUUUCCACAACACAAGUCUGGAGUCUGGCUGAAAGGCGUAGGAACGAUAUUUAUAAGUGAAUCUCCUUAUUGGGGUCCACGAGACAACUUUUGGGUCAGAAGUCAGUAUAUAUAAGAGGCUGAGUAAGAUAAUCUGGCAACAUUGCUUGUAAUAUAGGUAAGUGUGCAAUGGUUCAUGUCGCUUGUGGUCUGAUUUUGGAAAUGUUGCUCAAGGGUCUAAAACAGCCUCUGUCACAAGCUUUUCCCAUCCAAGUUGUGAUGUGGUCUUAGAAUACAACUUUGUGGGGAGGUGAAUCAUAGCAGCAGACACCUGAGCUAUGAAUAAGGUGAAAGGUGACAUGAACCAAAGGACUGAGACACACACACACACACACACACACACACACACACACACACACACACACUUACACGCAUACAUAAGGAGACAGCACCUGUACGCUAAUGGGAAUCUAUAAGAGACGACUAACUUACUUCCCCUUACUUCCUUACACACACAUUCACACACACAUACAUUAGCGGCAGCACCUAGUGGGAGUGUGUAUGAGAACUACCUAACUCUCCCUUGCUUCGUUACACCUUCGUUUUGAUCUGUGUGAGUGGGUUACGGUCCUAGACGGCGAUACACACUACAGAAUGGCACUGACUUGUUGCAGGAGAACGACUGUGUCUGAGUUCACAGCUGGUGGCGGCGAAGGGACCCAGAGUAGCGAGUGGACAGAGAAAUGGACGGACCCACAGAGAGACAGACAGACAGUGGCGUGUAGAGGUGAAGACAGACAGAGUACAGACAUGGGAGGUGGUAAGAGAGACAGGCAGAGAAUGAGAAACACUGAGAAAUGAAGAGAGGCAGAGAAAUGGAUGGAUGAAGCUGAAACACACACACACACACACACACACACACACACACACUCACACACACAGAAAGAGGUAGAUAGAGAGAAUGUAGAAAGAAAACACAAGAGAAACAGACAUACACAGACAGAGAGAGAUGGAGAAAAAGAAAGUAUACAGAUAAAACACACACACACACACACACACACACACACACACACACAC